RNAcentral lists this long non-coding RNA (775 nucleotides) under Nicotiana tabacum (common tobacco). Its description in RNAcentral is "long non-coding RNA (NTAB_LNC008178)". Lineage: Eukaryota; Viridiplantae; Streptophyta; Magnoliopsida; Solanales; Solanaceae. The record is from RNAcentral.
GACUACCAUACUCUUCCGUCGCCACCACCGCUGACGGAAAACUCUAAAUUGGCCAUCUAAUAACCAUCGUCUUCCUCUAUGAAAUUUAAAACCCAAAUUCCCCAUCUUCACGAAUUUGAAGAAAACAGAAUAGCCCUUGUCACCUCCGAAAACCAAAUAGCUCUCUUAGCUUGAAUAGCUGCACCUUUCAUUCCGAUGAGUAACCAGGUACGGUACUUGGCUCGCCGGUGUAUGUAUUCUAGCUCUUUGUUUGAACGAAAAGUCUGGUUAUUCUUCGGACUUUUAUUUCCCUAUACUCUGGUGGUCUAAGAUAAAUCCUGAGGUCAUGAGUUGAGUUUUGAGCACCUGAGGUUGGGUAAAUCCCUAACUCUUUCUCCUCGUUCUUUUUUUUUUCCUGGUUGAUUACAACUAUGGUGUAGUUUUAAAUUCAAUUAUAAUUUGAUGCAUAAGCAUCAGCAGGUGAACCAACAGUAGUGGUGAGCAACAAAAGAAAAUCUGAAACACCUUACAAGUUCUAUGCACCUUCAAAAAUCAAACCAGACAACCAUCGAGUUUGACCGAAAAUUUCGCCGACGAUUCCAGCUUGUCAAUGAUGGGAAUUUGAUGGCGCUGACAACAAAGAAGAUUUCAAAAGUAAAUUGAGAAAGAUUUUUAAGGAAUGACUCUUUAUAAUUGUUGUCCUGGGUCUUGUGUAAAAAGAUGAAAUUGUUAAUAAAGGAUGGUGAAAAUGGUCCUAAAAUAAAACUUCUCUAAUAAUGGUAUUGGUGGUUCCCCU